Molecule: non-coding RNA, 2714 nt
Organism: Podarcis muralis (Common wall lizard)
Lineage: Eukaryota; Metazoa; Chordata; Lepidosauria; Squamata; Lacertidae
Source: RefSeq, a predicted model, not a curated record
AAGAACAGUUUCAGGUUAAGUACAGACCUCCGGAACGAAUUAAGUACUUAACCUGAGAUACCACUGUAUUUAAUAAUUAAAGAUAUUCUGAUCUCCAGCCUCAGUUUAAUAACAGAUCGUUUAUAUCUCUUGGCUACAUUCACUUUCUUCCUAGGUGAACUCCUAAUGAUGCAUGGACAAGAGUCUUCACAUUUCUGUGUCAUACCAGUUGGUAUCCUAUCCUCAAGUAAUUUCAAAGCCUUUUACCAGAUGUCAGAUUUCCUUUCCAAAACCAAAUAUUACUAACGUGGCUGGAAUUUACACGGUCACAAUGAUCAUCAUGAUCAAGAUACAUUAUAGUCUCUCAUUACCUUGUAAUAAGAGUGGCCAGGCAUAGCCAUAAAGUUUCAUGAAGUUCUGAAGGUUCUGAAGACUUUGGAUGUUUUAUUAGGUGAAACAGUUAUUCUCCAUUAAAAAUAGCAUCGAGUUUCAUUAGUAAGUCUAAUUUUUCCACUGUUAAAAAUGUUCCGUCUCAUCAGGGAGUGGCAGAUAAAGUCUGCAAAGUUUUAUGGCCUACUUGUCCCAAAAAAAGAAGCCACCUCAGCCAGCUGAGGCUGCAGCUCUGACCAUUCUUUCUUGGGAGCAAGUGCCAUUGAAGUCAUGACACCUCAGAAUAAACAUGCUGAGGAUUUGGCUGCAAAUAACUUUACUCUGUGACAUCGAAUAUGACUAUGCAAUAAAACCCGCAGGUUGGUGGGAUAUUGAACCAUGGUGAUGUUAUAGCACUUAGCACUUCUGGACUUCCACAGAUGUCAGAGGGAAAGCUAUUUUUAUUUUUUAAAUGCUGGAAAUUGAGUUUGCCACAAAGAACAAUUUAACACGAUUCCCAAACUUUGGAAACAGAAUGUGGUCUUGGAGCUGAUUGGGAGGUGGGAAUUGUUUUUCUGGGUGGAGGGACUGGCAAUUUUACAUUCUUGGUGCAGGAUCAAUCCUUUGUAGUAGGAUCGUUUCUGUCUGAAAUACAGGAAUAUGCUUUUUUCCUACCCAGAUAUAGCCAUUUAAUAGGCUUUAAUUCCAGGAUUUGACGGUGGAAAGGUAAAUGUUCUUUUCUUUCCUAUUUUUCAGGCCUUGCCCAUCUGAAGCAUUUUACUGCUAUCAGUGGUCGAAGUGGAUAAAAGGAGAGGUCCAGUCACUUCUACAAUUACUCAGGCAUGUACCCAGAGGAGUUCAGCAAGAUCUGGUUUUUGCUACUAAAAGCUCAACAUUUCAAAAACCUGAGAUGCUCUGGAACUGUUGAUAUAGGUGAAAUCCAAUGCAGUGCAAGCAGACAUGUGCAGCGGUCCUUUCCCUUCCUCUCCGCCCACUUCCUGCAGCUCCCAAAUCUUCUCCAGAGGAUUGGGGGACACUUGGUAGCAGAUUUGGGGGAGGAAGAGUACAGUACAAGGGCUACAGAGGAAGAAGAGAAGCUGGAGGUCCUGUUGCACAAGUGGAUUUCCAUUGUGGAAGGAGGUGAACAGCACUGGAUGUUGCCACUUUAGGACAACUGCACAGAAAUUAUGAUAGACUUUACCAGCAUUGCCCAUCCAAAGUUAAGUACUUGUGGCCUUGUUGAUUUCUAUGGGGGAGAGUUAAGUGGGAGUUUUAAAAUGAUUAACUCUGUCUGAAUUGUGCCCUGUGUGCUUGAUUAAAUGCAGUUUUGACAGACAUGUUUAAAACAUUUUUGGCACAAUAUCUGGCCACACACAUGCACUACAGCAUGUCUGCCAUUACCAGCAAACAGGAAAUCAGUAUUGUUCUUACUUAUGUAUCCGUCUCCCCAAGGCGCCAGUUCUUGAUAUUCCUUCUCCAUUUGGGGAAUUUUGGCUGAGAAGCAGAAUAAAAAUCCAGUAAACAAAUAAAUCAAAUAUAACAAAAUAUCAAACUUCCCAAUUCAGAUGAAAAUUGAAGGGGGAUUACAAGAAAAUAUUUCUCCAAGGGACAAGUGGGAGAAAUAAUUUACCAGCUCUUCCCUACCCACCCUCCUCAAAUAUUGUCUGAAAAAAAGGAACAUCUCUUCUGAUUUACCUAAUGUGAUAUAUCUGAAAUCCUGAGGUAUUAAUUAGAGUUUAAAGAAUCUUCCCCCACCCAUAUGCUACAAUUGCUUGGUCCAAAGUGAUCCAUAGAGUUCCAGUGGUAAUAAUUAUAUUGUUCUGAAUGCUGACCAGCCAGGCUGGUGACAUCUUUUGGUAGGAAAAUAGCAGGUUACUCCCUCAGGGUGGUUGUUAGAUAUUUGUCUUUCGCAGGGAUGGGCAACCAGUGUCACUCCUGAAGUUCGUGGAUUCCAGCUCCCAUCAGGCUCAGUCAGCAUGGUCGAUUCCCAGGGAUAAUGAGAGUUGUAGUCCAACAACAUCUGGAGGGCCAGAGAAUCCCCAUACCUGGUUUAGGGAACUAAUUGGUAGAGGAUAGUUUCUCGAUCAUCUCUGAAAAGUAAGGGCCAUUUUAGGGAAGGAAAUUCACCACCCCCACCCACCCCCCAGUUAGGGUGCUCUUAGCAUUUGGUGUGGGAAGGGCUGCCAUUUUGGAGAACAGAGUCAUUCUGAGGCAGCGAAAGAAGUGGCGCAAGAGAGAUAAGUUGUGAGCUGAAGGCACCUCGGAGUGUAGGUAUUGCUUUCUGGGGGGUCUCAUGUGGAUCUUGUAACUGGUAGGAGUACUUGUGCUGUUUGCUUCCACCUAUGCUCCUAUUUUUGCAAAAAAAG